This 250-nucleotide ribosomal RNA is filed under the name uncultured prokaryote. Its description in RNAcentral is "partial 16S rRNA". It matches the Rfam family "Bacterial small subunit ribosomal RNA", at positions 525 to 775 of the family's 1533-position model. The record is from RNAcentral.
ACGUAGGGGGCAAGCGUUAUCCGGAAUUAUUGGGCGUAAAGAGUGCGUAGGUGGUUUUUUAAGCGUGAGGUGAAAGGCAAUAGCUUAACUAUUGUAAGCCUUGCGAACUGGAAGACUUGAGUGCAGGAGAGGAAAGUGGAAUUCCUAGUGUAGCUGUGAGAUGCGUAGAAAUGAGGAGGAACAACAGAGGCGGGGGGGACUUACUGGACUGUAACUCAUGCUGAGGCACGAAACCGUCUAGCACAAACAG